UACGGAGGGGGCUAGCGUUGUUCGGAAUUACUGGGCGUAAAGCGCACGUAGGCGGCUUUGUAAGUUAGAGGUGAAAAGCCCGGGGCUCAACUCCGGAAUUGCCUUUAAGACUGCAUCGCUAGAAUUGUGGAGAGGUAAGUGGAAUUCCGAGUGUAGAGGUGAAAUUCGUAGAUAUUCGGAAGAACACCAGUGGCGAAGGCGACUUACUGGACACAUAUUGACGCUGAGGUGCGAAAGCGUGGGGAGCAAACAGG
RNAcentral lists this ribosomal RNA (254 nucleotides) under uncultured bacterium. RNAcentral's name for it is "partial 16S ribosomal RNA". It matches the Rfam family "Bacterial small subunit ribosomal RNA", at positions 524 to 776 of the family's 1533-position model. The record is from RNAcentral.